This 1138-nucleotide ribosomal RNA is filed under the name uncultured bacterium. RNAcentral describes it as "bacterial SSU rRNA". It matches the Rfam family "Bacterial small subunit ribosomal RNA", at positions 126 to 1295 of the family's 1533-position model. The record is from RNAcentral.
CUCCCUUCUAGUAUGGGAUAACACCGGGAAACUGGUGCUAAUACCGUAUAGUCCCUUCGGGGUAAAGAUUUAUCGCUAGAAGAUGAGCCCGCGUAAGAUUAGCUAGUUGGUGAGGUAAUGGCUCACCAAGGCUACGAUCUUUAGCUGGUCUUAGAGGACGAUCAGCCACACUGGAACUGAGACACGGUCCAGACUCCUACGGGAGGCAGCAGUGGGGAAUCUUGGACAAUGGGGGAAACCCUGAUCCAGCCAUGCCGCGUGAGUGAUGAAGGCCUUCGGGUUGUAAAGCUCUUUUGUAUGGGAAGAUAAUGACUGUACCAUAAGAAUAAGCCCCGGCUAACUUCGUGCCAGCAGCCGCGGUAAUACGAAGGGGGCUAGCGUUGUCCGGAAUUACUGGGCGUAAAGGGUGCGUAGGUGGUUAUGUAAGUCAGAAGUGAAAGCCCUGGGCUCAACCCGGGAAUUGCUUUUGAAACUAUAUAGCUAGAGUUCGAGAGAGGUAAGUGGAAUAUCCAGUGUAGAGGUAAAAUUCGUAGAUAUUGGAUGGAACACCAGUGGCGAAGGCGGCUUACUGGCUCGAUACUGACACUGAGGCACGAAAGCGUGGGGAGCAAACAGGAUUAGAUACCCUGGUAGUCCACGCUGUAAACGAUGAAUGCUAGUUGUUGGAAAGUCUAACUUUUCAGUGACGCCGUUAACACAUUAAGCAUUCCGCCUGGGGAGUACAUUCGCAAGGAUGAAACUCAAAGAAAUUGACGGGGGCCCGCACAAGCGGUGGAGUAUGUGGUUUAAUUCGACGCAACGCGAAGAACCUUACCAGGCCUUGACAUGGCUAGUAUGGGGCUAAGAGAUUAGCUCCUUCAGUUCGGCUGGCUAGCACACAGGUGCUGCAUGGCUGUCGUCAGCUCGUGUCGUGAGAUGUUGGGUUAAGUCCCGCAACGAGCGCAACCCUUAUCGAUAGUUGCUACCAGGUUAUGCUGGGCACUCUAUUGAAACUGCCGGUGACAAGCCGGAGGAAGGCGGGGAUGACGUCAAGUCCUCAUGGCCCUUACGGCCUGGGCUACACACGUACUACAAUGGUGGUGACAGUGGGAAGCCAAAGCGCAAGCUGGAGCGAACCCCCAAAAGCCACCUCAGUUCA